Molecule: ribosomal RNA, 408 nt
Filed under: uncultured bacterium
Lineage: Bacteria
Description: bacterial SSU rRNA
Rfam family: Bacterial small subunit ribosomal RNA
Source: RNAcentral
UGGGGAAUAUUGCGCAAUGGGCGAAAGCCUGACGCAGCGACGCCGCGUGAGGGACGACGGCCUUCGGGUUGUAAACCUCUUUCAGCUCCGACGAAGCGAAAGUGACGGUAGGAGCAGAAGAAGCACCGGCCAACUACGUGCCAGCAGCCGCGGUAAUACGUAGGGUGCAAGCGUUGUCCGGAAUUAUUGGGCGUAAAGAGCUCGUAGGUGGCCUGUCACGUCGGCUGUGAAAACCCGGGGCUCAACCCCGGGCCUGCAGUCGAUACGGGCAGGCUAGAGUUCGGCAGGGGAGACUGGAAUUCCUGGUGUAGCGGUGAAAUGCGCAGAUAUCAGGAGGAACACCGGUGGCGAAGGCGGGUCUCUGGGCCGAAACUGACGCUGAGGAGCGAAAGCGUGGGGAGCGAACAG